ACUCCAGACUCCUACGGGAGGCAGCAGUGGGGAAUAUUGGACAAUGGGGGGAACCCUGAUCCAGCGACGCCGCGUGAGUGAAGAAGUAUUUCGGUAUGUAAAGCUCUAUCAGCAGGGAAGAAAGAAAUGAUGGUACCUGACUAAGAAGCCCCGGCUAACUACGUGCCAGCAGCCGCAGUAAUACGUAGGGGGCAAGCGUUAUCCGGAUUUACUGGGUGUAAAGGGAGCGUAGACGGCGAUGCAAGUCUGAAGUGAAAGGCGGGGGCCCAACCCCCGGACUGCUUUGGAAACUGUAUGGCUGGAGUGCAGGAGAGGUAAGUGGAAUUCCUAGUGUAGCGGUGAAAUGCGUAGAUAUUAGGAGGAACACCAGUGGCGAAGGCGGCCUACUGGACGGUGACUGACGCUGAGGCUCGAAAGCGUGGGGAGCAAACAGGAUUAGAUACCCGAGUAGCC
This 453-nucleotide ribosomal RNA is filed under the name uncultured bacterium. RNAcentral describes it as "bacterial SSU rRNA". It matches the Rfam family "Bacterial small subunit ribosomal RNA", at positions 328 to 795 of the family's 1533-position model. The record is from RNAcentral.